AUGGCCAUGACAGAUAAAGGAGCCUCUGACCUUACCACCACGUGUAUCAUAAGGUUGGAGUUCCAGGAGGACCCCUUGGGGAGGGCAGACACUGAGAACACAGCCAAGAAAAGCUCAGAAAAUGUGGGUCAGUGGAGUGUGUGGUGGGGCCCCAGGAGUUCUGUGUGGGAGCAGCUUCUGGAAGGAAGGGCCCGCACCAGCUCCUCUGGGGUUUGCCACACUCAUGAUGCACUGUGUAGCAAUCAGCCCCAGUAUUUUGGAGAUGGCACUCGACUCUCCGUCCUAGAGGACCUGAAAAAGGUGUUCCCACCCAAGGUCGCUGUGUUUGAGCCAUCAGAAGCAGAGAUCUCCCACACCCAAAAGGCCACACUGGUGUGCCUGGCCACAGGCUUCUACCCCGACCAUAUAGAACUGAGCUGGUGGGUGAACGGGAAAGAGGUGCACAGUGGGGUCAGCACAGACCCACAGCCCCUCAAGGAGCAGCCAGCCUCACCGACUCCAGAUACUGCCUGAGCAGCCGCCUGAGGUCUCAGCGCCACCUUUCUGGCACAACCCCGCAACCACUUCCGCUGCUGCCAAGUCCAGUUCUUGCGGCUCGGAGGAUGACGAGUGGGACUGAGGACAGGACAAGCCCAUCACCUAAAAAGAUAAGUGCCGAGGCCUGGGGUAGAGCAGACUGUGGCUUCACCUCUGAGUCUUACCAGCAAGGGGUCCUGUCUGCCACCAUCCUCUAUGAGAUCUUGCUAGGGAAGGCCACCUUGUAUGCCGUGCUGGUCAGUGCCCUCGUGCUGAUGGCCAUGGUCAAGAGAAAGGGUUCCUGAGGCUAGCUCCAAAACCAUCCCGGGUCAUUCUUCAUCCUCACCCAGGAUUCUCCUGUACCUGCUCCCAAUCUGUGUUCCUAAAAGUGAUUCUCUCUCUGCUUCUCACCUCCUUAUGUGAAUACUUCCCUCUUUUUGCUAUUUCCCUGAAGAUUGAGCUCCCGACCCCCAAGUUUGAAAAAGACUAAACCAAUAAAAAAUGGUUGUGCUGAG
This is a non-coding RNA of Chlorocebus sabaeus (green monkey), 1031 nucleotides long. NCBI's taxonomy places the organism in Eukaryota, Metazoa, Chordata, Mammalia, Primates, Cercopithecidae. The record is from RefSeq and is a predicted model, not a curated record.